AGAAAGCACCGGGGGUGUCUGUGUCAGCUUCAAAUCGAUGACUGAUCAGGCUGAGAAAGUCCCUUUGAACCUGAACAGGAUAAUUCCUGCGUAGGGAGUGUGCAAUUUUCUUUUG
This 115-nucleotide non-coding RNA is filed under the name Capsicum annuum. RNAcentral describes it as "TPP sequence". It matches the Rfam family "TPP riboswitch aptamer (THI element)". From Rfam's summary of the family: Vitamin B(1) in its active form thiamin pyrophosphate (TPP) is an essential coenzyme that is synthesised by coupling of pyrimidine and thiazole moieties in bacteria. The previously detected thiamin-regulatory element, thi box was extended, resulting in a new, highly conserved RNA secondary structure, the THI element, which is widely distributed in eubacteria and also occurs in some archaea. The record is from Rfam by way of RNAcentral. Lineage: Eukaryota; Viridiplantae; Streptophyta; Magnoliopsida; Solanales; Solanaceae.